This is a long non-coding RNA of Poecilia latipinna (sailfin molly), 204 nucleotides long. RefSeq lists it as uncharacterized. The transcript is spliced from 2 exons. The record is from RefSeq and is a predicted model, not a curated record. Lineage: Eukaryota; Metazoa; Chordata; Actinopteri; Cyprinodontiformes; Poeciliidae.
AUAAAAGGUACAGGUGGUGACAUUUGGCAUCACAAAGCCAGAUACUUCCACUGAGAGGACAGAUGGGUUACUUCUUGUACUUCUCCGCUGAGACAUGGACUCUGCUGGUUGCCUUUGUCACGCUCCUCCUUGUGUACGCCUACUGGCCUUAUGGAACUUUCAAGAAAUUAGGUAUCUCUGGUCCUAAACCUGUCCCAUUCUUUG